AUGAGUUCUUCUAUUUCUAAACAGAGUACAAGCACAGGCUGAGCUCUUUUGGGAAGAAAAUCAAACUUGACCACAGAAAAUAGUAAAAUACCUCAUGAAAAAAAUACUCUACUUUUAACAGUUCUUUGAAACCUCGACUCUGAUCAUGAUCAUGAAGUCUCAAAAAUGCAAAUCAGGACAAAACACCAAGUACCCAGAGGACAAAAUGUUGAAAAGUUUGACUACUUGAAAAAUUGUGGAAAACUGAAAGCCUGAAUUGGAAUGCUGAUUGGGACCCUUCCAGGAUGUGUUACUUUAGGCUGGCUAUGUAAUCAUUGGUUUUUGUUCUUGUUAGUUUGUUUGUUUUAGUUUUGGUUUUUAGCUGUAGAGAUUAUAAACUCUAUCAUCCAGAAGGA
Microcebus murinus (gray mouse lemur) is the source of this 395-nucleotide non-coding RNA. The record is from RefSeq and is a predicted model, not a curated record. Lineage: Eukaryota; Metazoa; Chordata; Mammalia; Primates; Cheirogaleidae.